Molecule: transfer RNA, 70 nt
Filed under: Nemipterus hexodon (ornate threadfin bream)
Lineage: Eukaryota; Metazoa; Chordata; Actinopteri; Spariformes; Nemipteridae
Description: tRNA-Ile
Rfam family: tRNA
About the family: Transfer RNA (tRNA) molecules are approximately 80 nucleotides in length.
Source: RNAcentral
GGAGUUGUGCCUGAAUUAAAGGGCCACUUUGAUAGAGUGAACCAUGAAGGUUAAAAUCCUUCCAACUCCU